GGCUUAGAGUUUGAUCAUGGCUCAGGAUGAACGCUAGCUACAGGCUUAGCACAUGCAAGUCGAGGGGCAGCAUGAACUUAGCUUGCUAAGUUUGAUGGCGACCGGCGCACGGGUGAGUAACACGUAUCCAACCUGCCGAUGACUCGGGGAUAGCCUUUCGAAAGAAAGAUUAAUACCCGAUGGCAUAGUUCUUCCGCAUGGUGGAACUAUUAAAGAAUUUCGGUCAUCGAUGGGGAUGCGUUCCAUUAGGCUGUUGGCGGGGUAACGGCCCACCAAGCCUUCGAUGGAUAGGGGUUCUGAGAGGAAGGUCCCCCACAUUGGAACUGAGACACGGUCCAAACUCCUACGGGAGGCAGCAGUGAGGAAUAUUGGUCAAUGGACGAGAGUCUGAACCAGCCAAGUAGCGUGAAGGAUGACUGCCCUAUGGGUUGUAAACUUCUUUUAUACGGGAAUAAAGUGAGGCACGUGUGCCUUUUUGUAUGUACCGUAUGAAUAAGGAUCGGCUAACUCCGUGCCAGCAGCCGCGGUAAUACGGAGGAUCCGAGCGUUAUCCGGAUUUAUUGGGUUUAAAGGGAGCGUAGGCGGACGCUUAAGUCAGUUGUGAAAGUUUGCGGCUCAACCGUAAAAUUGCAGUUGAUACUGGGUGUCUUGAGUACAGUAGAGGCAGGCGGAAUUCGUGGUGUAGCGGUGAAAUGCUUAGAUAUCACGAAGAACUCCGAUUGCGAAGGCAGCUUGCUGGACUGUAACUGACGCUGAUGCUCGAAAGUGUGGGUAUCAAACAGGAUUAGAUACCCUGGUAGUCCACACAGUAAACGAUGAAUACUCGCUGUUUGCGAUAUACAGUAAGCGGCCAAGCGAAAGCGUUAAGUAU
Molecule: ribosomal RNA, 871 nt
Filed under: uncultured organism
Description: bacterial SSU rRNA
Rfam family: Bacterial small subunit ribosomal RNA
Source: RNAcentral